RNAcentral lists this ribosomal RNA (498 nucleotides) under Blastocystis hominis. RNAcentral's name for it is "bacterial SSU rRNA". It matches the Rfam family "Eukaryotic small subunit ribosomal RNA", at positions 510 to 1016 of the family's 1831-position model. The record is from RNAcentral. Lineage: Eukaryota; Bigyra; Opalinata; Blastocystidae.
UGGAUUGAGACACGUACAAACCUUAUCGAUAAACAAUUGGAGGGCAAGUCUGGUGCCAGCAGCCGCGGUAAUUCCAGCUCCAAUAGCGUAUAUUAACGUUGUUGCAGUUAAAAAGCUCGUAGUUGAAAUGAAGGGUAGUUGUGUAAUGAAUACAUUCGUGUAUUUUGUUAUUCUACUACCCUCCUUCUAAAUUCGAUAUAUGAGUAUUAAUUUACUUGUAUAUGGUUUUAGACUUUUACUGUGAGAAAAUUAGAGUGUUCAAAGCAGGCAUUUGCUUGAAUAUAUUAGCAUGGAAUAAUCAUGUAUGAUUUUCAUGAUGUAUUUGAUUGGUUUGGUUCAUGAGAAUAAGAUUAAAAGGGACAGUUGGGGGUAUUCAUAUUCAAUAGUCAGAGGUGAAAUUCUCGGAUUUAUGGAAGAUGAACAAGUGCGAAAGCAUUUACCAAGGAUGUUUUCAUUAAUCAAGAACGAAAGUUAGGGGAUCGAAGAGGAUUAGAUACC